RNAcentral lists this ribosomal RNA (434 nucleotides) under uncultured Clostridium sp. RNAcentral describes it as "partial 16S ribosomal RNA". It matches the Rfam family "Bacterial small subunit ribosomal RNA", at positions 341 to 792 of the family's 1533-position model. The record is from RNAcentral. Lineage: Bacteria; Bacillati; Bacillota; Clostridia; Eubacteriales; Clostridiaceae.
ACGGGAGGCAGCAGUGGGGAAUAUUGGACAAUGGGGGAAACCCUGAUCCAGCGACGCCGCGUGAGUGAAGAAGUAUUUCGGUAUGUAAAGCUCUAUCAGCAGGGAAGAUAAUGACGGUACCUGACUAAGAAGCCCCGGCUAACUACGUGCCAGCAGCCGCGGUAGUACGUAGGGGGCAAGCGUUAUCCGGAUUUACUGGGUGUAAAGGGAGCGUAGACGGCUGUGCAAGUCUGAAGUGAAAUCCGCGGGCUCAACCCGUGAACUGCUUUGGAAACUGUAUAGCUAGAGUGCAGGAGAGGUAAGUGGAAUUCCUAGUGUAGCGGUGAAAUGCGUAGAUAUUAGGAGGAACACCAGUGGCGAAGGCGGCUUACUGGACUGUAACUGACGUUGAGGCUCGAAAGCGUGGGGAGCAAACAGGAUUAGAUACCCUGGUA